GCAGGGCAUGGUGGAGCAUGCCUGUAGUCCCAGCUACUCAGGAGGCUGAGACAGGAGAAUUGCUUGAACCCAGGAGGUGGAAGUUGCAGUGAGCCGACACCACGCCACUGCACUCCAGCCUGGGUGACAGAGCAAGACUCUGUCUCAA
Molecule: unclassified non-coding RNA, 148 nt
Organism: Macaca mulatta (Rhesus monkey)
Lineage: Eukaryota; Metazoa; Chordata; Mammalia; Primates; Cercopithecidae
Rfam family: Metazoan signal recognition particle RNA
About the family: The signal recognition particle (SRP) is a universally conserved ribonucleoprotein.
Source: Ensembl